GACGAACGCUGGCGGCGUGCUUAACACAUGCAAGUCGAACGGAAAGGCCCUGCUUUUGUGGGCUGCUCGGGUGGCGAACGGGGGAGCAACACGUAAGUAACCUACCAUUGACUUUGGGAUAACUUCAGGAAACUGGAGCUAAUACCGGAUAGGAGCUCCUGCUGCAUGGUGGGGGUUGGAAAGUUUCGGCUGUUGGGGAUGGACGAGCGGCUUAUCAGCUUGUUGGUGGGGUAGUGUCUUACCAAGGCUUGGAAGGGUAGCCGUCCUGAGAGGGUGACCUGCCACAUUGGGACUGAGAUGCGGCCCAGACUCGUACGGUAGGCAGAAGUGGAGAGUAUUGCAUAAUGGGAUGAAGCCUGAUGUAGCAACGCCGUGUGCGGUAUGACGGCCUUCGGGUUGUAAACUGCUGUCGCCUGUGACGAAGCGUGAGUGACGGUAAUGGGUAAAUAAGCACCGGCUAACUACGUG
Molecule: ribosomal RNA, 468 nt
Filed under: uncultured bacterium
Lineage: Bacteria
Description: partial 16S ribosomal RNA
Rfam family: Bacterial small subunit ribosomal RNA
Source: RNAcentral